UACGUAGGUGGCAAGCGUUGUCCGGAUUUACUGGGUGUAAAGGGCGUGUAGGCGGGUUGUCAAGUCAGAUGUGAAAUCCCGGGGCUCAACUCCGGAACUGCAUCUGAAACUGAUGAUCUUGAGUACUGUAGGGGAAAGUGGAAUUCCUAGUGUAGCGGUGAAAUGCGUAGAUAUUAGGAGGAACACCGGUGGCGAAGGCGGCUUUCUGGGCAGUAACUGACGCUGAGGCGCGAAAGCGUGGGGAGCAAAC
This 250-nucleotide ribosomal RNA is filed under the name uncultured prokaryote. Its description in RNAcentral is "partial 16S ribosomal RNA". It matches the Rfam family "Bacterial small subunit ribosomal RNA", at positions 524 to 773 of the family's 1533-position model. The record is from RNAcentral.